GCUAAGCUAUCUCCAGCUUCUAAAGCUUCAUUACCGUUUAUAUCCACAAGAUCCAGCAAAUCACCAACUUCUUCUUGCUUCUUCUCUAUUAUCACUUCCUCCUCGGGUUGUUCUUCUUCCUCUUCCUCUUCUUUUGGUGGAGGUGCAGGUAAGGCCUUGAUAGCAUUCAUAUCUUCUUCCUCCUCGUUCACUUCCUCUGCUCUCUCAUCAUCAUCCUCUUCAACAGACUGUGAUUCCUUGGUCUGGUCUAAAGUGGAUUUGUCUUUUAUAAACUCAUCCAUGAGAUCAAGCUUCUUCUGUGUGAUCUUCUCUAUCUCAGGGUACUCUGAAGACCUAGCGAUCCCCAUGUUCUUACACCAGGAAUAGAACUGAUCUAGCUCUUCAAACUGUUUAGAGACGCGGCAGAAAAUGUCAUAGACCUUGAUCGAAUCAGGUAUGUCUAACUCCAUGAACCGUUCGAUUAAAACCCCCAUUAUCUCAGUUAUAUCGUAAUAUAUCUGGAAGCUCUCCUUCACUAUAGGAUACAGAGCCACAAUCACAACUCUGUUGUUCCUCGCGCCACCUGUUUUAAAAAGUGAUAACUUGUUAUCCAAGAAACAACGAAGAUAGCGACAAAAGAAAACUGCGGUUUUGAACCGAACCGAACCAAAAAUUUUGGUUAGUUUGGUUUGGUCGUUACAAAUAAAGUUCAAUUCGGCAUGUUUGUGAAAAAACUUAGGUUUUCAGUUAAUUUGAUUUUCCAAAAGAAAAAAAAAAGUAACUAAGUUUCCAAUGAACUAAUAGAAUUAACAAAAAUUCAAAUCAAAACAAUCAAACUAACCGAAAUUACCGAAUUUAAACAAAAAUACCAAAUUUUAACUGAAAUAUAAUCGAAACCAAAAACUUCGGGUUAGUUUAAAUAAAAAAAAGUUAAAAACAGAACUACCCAAAUACCGAACCGAACAAAUUUUUCUGGUUCAAUUCAUUGAGAUUUUGGCCAAACCGAACCACCCGAACCUCAAGCCUAUGGAUGUGGUACCUGUUGGACGACAAGCCAAGAAACGGUCAAGAAGCUGCUGCAAAUGCUGUACUCUGGUGAAAAUCUUCUCUGUUUUCAUCUCUGCGAUGGGUUGUGACCUAACCACUAUAGCCGUGGAGAGAUCAGCCUCAUGCUUAUCUUUCUCAUCUUCCACCGCAUCUCCUCCUCCAACGCAGUAAACCCCACGUUUCCCGUGCCUCGUUUGCAUCCUAAAAUCAAGCCUUUCAUCUAGGUACAAUGCAUACGUCCUUACAAAAGCAGAGUAGUCCCACGAGUUUGACCUAGAAACAUCUCUAAAGUCAGACAUGUUGAGAAGUCUUGUCCCACGUCGAGUAGCGAAGAAGAUCUCUUGCUCGUAAGCCUUAUCUCCUUCUGCUAAUAGCCGUUGGAUCAGAAUCAAGGUUUUGAGAGCGACGGUCCAGCAUUUGGUUUUGUUGAGGCGUCUAGAAAGCGUGUUGACGCAUGCGUUGAUGUAGUUGCGUGAGUAAGAAGUUAGGCUAAGAAUCUCUCUUAUGUAUUUCUCUUCUGCUGGAUACUCUUCGUGACGAGUAGCUUUGACGAUGGCUACGUCAAGCUCUGAUAGAGAAGAGCUUCGGCCGUUGACUUUGGCUAGACCGGCGCUGGUUUGGUCCUUCACGGCUCCUAUGGCUCGUUUAAGUUUACUCGAACCCAUUUUUUUACGAUUUAUUAAAAUGUAUAUAAGAAAAGAAAAUUAGAAAACGUAAAGAUAAAGACAAAAAGAUAUGAAGAGAGAAAAGGGGAAGAGAACGAGGGUUGCUUUGUUAUGUGCUCACACAGCUACAGUCACAUGUCUACGUGUAAGUCAACCGUACAUGAUGAUUGCAAGUGGGUCAGAUGAUUGCACAGUUAUAAUAUGGGAUCUCAGUUCGAUGAGUUUUGUGAGGCAGCUUCCUGACUUCCCAGUUCCCAUUUCAGCAAUCUACAUAAAUGACCUUACCGGGGAGAUUGUAACUGCGGCUGGAACUGCCCUUGCGGUUUGGAGCAUCAAUGGCGACUGCCUUGCUGUGGCUAACACAUCGCAGUUACCAUCUGAUUCAGUAUUAUCUGUAACAGGUUCCACGUCUUCUGACUGGCUUGAAACAGCAUGGUAUGUAACUGGUCAUCAGAGUGGAGCAAUUAAAAUAUGGCGGAUGAUACAUUGCACUGAUCCGUUGAGUGCCGAGAGCAAAACAAGUAGUAGCAACAGAAACGGAGGGCUGAAUUUGGGUGAUCAAGUGCCAGAGUACAAGUUGAUUCUGCAUAAGGUGCUGAAAUUCCAUAAACAACCGGUCACCGCUCUCUAUCUCCCGGGCGACCUGAAGCAGUUACUGAGCGGCGAUUCAGCUGGACAAUUGCUUUCAUGGACAUUGCCAGAUGAGACAUUAAGAGCUUCGUUGAAACAAGCUUCGUUGAAAUAAGCUUCACUGAAACAGGCGUCAUAGGUUUAGGAUGUAAAGCUGAGACCAGUCAUUCCCCUUUGGUUUCUUUGGUUAGAACCGAGAGAGAGAGCUGGCGAAGGGACUUGAAGACAGGACCAAAUAGUAGGAAGAAGACCAAAGUCUGAACAAAGUGCUGGCUCUGUUGCAUAAAUGGCUUGCAGGUUAAAGAGAAAAAGAGCAAGGUGAGCCAGUCUGGCUUCUGAUUGCUGGUGAGUUUUCAGAAUUAGGAAGGAGAUGGAAGAUGAGGUUUGGUUUGAGAAUUUGUGUAAAUAGAUUUCUUCUUGAAAAAUCAUUGCAAAUAGCAGAAGGCUGGGCAUAUUUGUAUUCACAGCCCCAUGUGUAUUUUGUCAGAUGCUGUUCUUGUAUUGUUUUAAUAGUUUGUGACCUUUUGUAUUCUUCAUCGUUUGCCUCAAUGUCAAUGGUAUUGUUUUCUGUUCUUGGUUUUAAAGAAAGAGUGAGAGAGAUGGGAAAGUAAAAUCAUUCUGAUAAAGAAGAGAUGGUUUCAAGUUUUCUUGGGUUAUUACCAAGUUUGGUUAAUAUGUGUGGCUCUGUCUUUAAUUAUAUUAUAUUACGUAAAACUAAAAUUACCUUAAAAGAGGAAGAAAAACAAUUGUAUAAUAUUACGAAGUUUUUGGUUAAUAUGUGCAACUGUUUGAAAUUCGCAACUAAACCAUUCAGAACAAGAGCUUCAAGAGAUGGCUACAAUGCCAGCCAAUCAUCCAUCAUCUUUGGUCGUGGAUUCUUGAACUGUGUUUGUGCUUCCUUCUUGGCCACAUUUGAGUUAUCUGGAUUACAUACAUGCUCAGGAUGAUGCCGAGAGAUACGAGGAGUUGUUGAUGCCUUCAAGUCAUAUUAAAUACAGUAUUUAAGUUUAUCUUGUAAAGUUACAUCAGAGAUUACAAUUACAGAAGCAAACCUCUUAUAUGCCCCCCUCCCCAAUGAAUCUGACCCAAGAACAGAAGAAAUGUUUGAAUUUGCAAAAAGAAUAAACCCCAAAAAAAAAAGCUGACACAACUAAAGAACUCCUUCCAUGAUGCAGAAUCAAUAUUGAGGUGUGUAGGAGUAACUAGGUUUGUUUUGGUUUUGGCUUAAAUUCAUGUGUCCUUGUCUUCCUUCUCUUGAGUAUUGAUCCCACAUCAUCUGCUCUUCCAUCAACUUUCUCUGUUUCUUCUCCAUGUCAUUCAUCUGCACAUACGCUGGCGGCGCAACCUCCAAGGACGCAGCAAAUGGAUCCAUCGGUACAGUGCCAUUGCUGUUUCCAUUAGCCGUUGCUGGUGCUGGAAGUGCCAGCAUGGUUGCUAUAAUUGUUACAAAACUCAUGUCAAAAAAUUAGUAUAAUAUGCAAACAAAGACAUAUCAAAGUAACGUUUCUUUUAAAACCUGCUGGUCUUCCUGCAGAACCAAAUGCCAUACUGCUUGCACUUCCGCUAGCUCCAUAAGCCGUGGAGGUUUGCACAGCAGCGUUCACAGUGCCGUGCUGAUACAUUCCGUUGAGAAGCAACAUAUCAAAGCCUCCUCCGAGUUCCGUCUUUUGUCCUGAUAAUUUUGUAGCGGUUUGCACCAAAGCUGUCUCCCAAUCUGCUCCAUCAUCAUUAAACGCUUCCCAUCCAGGACCGGUCUCUGCACCCGAACCGCUCGCGUAAGGGCCAUCGAAUAAAGCCAAUGCUAAGCUAUCUCCAGCUUCUAAAGCUUCAUUACCGUUUAUAUCCACAAGAUCCAGCAAAUCACCAACUUCUUCUUGCUUCUUCUCUAUUAUCACUUCCUCCUCGGGUUGUUCUUCUUCCUCUUCCUCUUCUUUUGGUGGAGGUGCAGGUAAGGCCUUGAUAGCAUUCAUAUCUUCUUCCUCCUCGUUCACUUCCUCUGCUCUCUCAUCAUCAUCCUCUUCAACAGACUGUGAUUCCUUGGUCUGGUCUAAAGUGGAUUUGUCUUUUAUAAACUCAUCCAUGAGAUCAAGCUUCUUC
This 4418-nucleotide long non-coding RNA is filed under the name Brassica napus (rape). Its description in RNAcentral is "long non-coding RNA (BNAP_LNC008644)". The record is from RNAcentral. Lineage: Eukaryota; Viridiplantae; Streptophyta; Magnoliopsida; Brassicales; Brassicaceae.